CACACACACUAAUUGAGGGUCGGAAAUAGGGAUCACAUUGUCUUCCCUAACGACAGUUAAUAUAAUAACUAUUUAAAUAGCUAUUUAAAUAGGGAAACUUCGCAAUGUAAAAUAUCCCUAAAAUAUCAUAGGUUCAUUAAUAAGAAAAACCAUAAUGUAUCGUGUCAUAUUUAGCUGACGGUUUGUGUUUCCUUCAAUCAACGCUAUCUUACCAACAAACGGG
This 223-nucleotide long non-coding RNA is filed under the name Mytilus galloprovincialis (Mediterranean mussel). Lineage: Eukaryota; Metazoa; Mollusca; Bivalvia; Mytilida; Mytilidae. The record is from RNAcentral.